Molecule: ribosomal RNA, 736 nt
Filed under: uncultured eukaryote
Lineage: Eukaryota
Description: SSU rRNA
Rfam family: Eukaryotic small subunit ribosomal RNA
Source: RNAcentral
GUUGGGUGUUAAUGUGUGCGCCAUCAUUUCGUCGGAUUUCCGCUGGCGUCUGGUCGCAGAUCGGCGUCGCGUUUCCGACAAGUUUACCUUAAAUAAAUUAAAAUGCUCAAAAUAGGCGUCACCCUGAAUAUCAUAUUAUGGAAUAAUGAAAUAGGACUUCGGUUCAUUUUGUUGGUUAUUGAAUCGUGGUAAUGAUUAAUAGGGAUAAUCUCGGGGGCAUUCGUAUUUCUGCGGGAGAGGUGAAAUUCUAUGAUCGCAGAAGGACGCCCUAAAGCGAAAGCAUUUGCCAAGAAUGUCUUCGUUAAUCAAGAACGAAAGUCAGAGGAUCGAAGGCGAUUAGAUACCGCCCUAGUUCUGACCGUAAACGAUACCAUCUAGCGAUCCGAUAGGGUCAUCUAACCUUGUCGGGGAGCUUCCCGGAAACGAAAGUCUUUCGGUUCCGGGGGUAGUAUGGUUGCAAAGCUGAAACUUAAAGAAAUUGACGGAAGGGCACCACCAGGAGUGGAGCGUGCGGCUUAAUUUGACUCAACACGGGAAAACUCACCCGGUCCGGACACCGUAAGGAUUGACAGACUGAAAGCUCUUUCUUGAUUCGGUGGUUGGUGGUGCAUGGCCGUUCUUAGUUGGUGGAGUAAUUUGUCUGGUUUAUUCCGAUAACGAGCGAGACUCUAGCCUGCUAAAUAGAACACGGAUAACUAAUUCCAUAGGUCCGUGAUGCUUCUUAGAGGAAUAGCGG